Molecule: transfer RNA, 72 nt
Filed under: Camelus bactrianus (Bactrian camel)
Lineage: Eukaryota; Metazoa; Chordata; Mammalia; Artiodactyla; Camelidae
Also listed under: 2 other names
Rfam family: tRNA
About the family: Transfer RNA (tRNA) molecules are approximately 80 nucleotides in length. Their secondary structure includes four short double-helical elements and three loops (D, anti-codon, and T loops). Further hydrogen bonds mediate the characteristic L-shaped molecular structure. tRNAs have two regions of fundamental functional importance: the anti-codon, which is responsible for specific mRNA codon recognition, and the 3' end, to which the tRNAs corresponding amino acid is attached (by aminoacyl-tRNA synthetases). tRNAs cope with the degeneracy of the genetic code in two manners: having more than one tRNA (with a specific anti-codon) for a particular amino acid; and 'wobble' base-pairing, i.e. permitting non-standard base-pairing at the 3rd anti-codon position.
Source: Rfam by way of RNAcentral
AGGGAUGUGGCUCAUUGGUAGAGCUCAUGCUUAGCAUUCAUGAGGUCCUGGGUUCAAUCCCCAGUACCUCCA